Non-coding RNA from Phoenix dactylifera (date palm), 1405 nucleotides. The record is from RefSeq and is a predicted model, not a curated record. Lineage: Eukaryota; Viridiplantae; Streptophyta; Magnoliopsida; Arecales; Arecaceae.
UGGCUGGAUCCUGUGGGGACCGGCUGACCUGGCACUGGUGUCCGCACCAUUAUAUAAAUAAAUUCGGUACUAAUGCGAGACCGGGUUGACUUCAGGUCUGAUCGGUUUUAAAAUUUUCAAAAAUCAGUUUCCAUCUAAAAUUCUCACCAGGUUGGAGCGACAGCCCUAUGCGAAACAAGUGAAAAGUCCAAGCCGUGGCAAAUGAGGCAACGAACAAAAGUCCCGUUCGUCGUCUUCUUGCCCCCCGCGCCCCCCACCCCCCCCCGGGCAUCUAUUCAUUUUCUUCCCCCGAUUUCAUCAUCGUCGAAGAAGUGUAAGCUUUCGUUCUCCUCGCGGCUCUCCUGAAGGUCGAUCGCUCCCAUCCGUUCUCUGAGAAUUGGAGUCGAGGAGAUCGCUGAGCUCGCCCGUAACAAGGUUCUGGUAGCUGCUGUGAUUGGUUCGGUAAUCGGGCAGGUCUCAAAACCUCUGGCUUCGGCUCUUUUAAUGGAAAUGGCAUCGAUCUAAAGGCAGUAAUUCGUUCUGGUGGAAUGCCGUCGACCCCCAUUUCCCCUGUAACUGGGGGAUAUGGGCUUGAUAUUGGGACCAAUUUGUGGAACUUAGUGCUUUUGAAUUCACAGAGUGUCACGGCAGCUGCAACUUCGCUUAGUCUUGAAAGGUUAGUAAAGAAAUUACUCGUUUCAUAGUUUUGAAUGAUAAAUUCUCUCGCGUUCUCGUGUAUGAUCGUGCUAUAUGAUUAAAUGCCUAACCUUUCGAUUUGCUUGAGAUAAAUUGGUGCAGCAACUCGGACGCCUGGCUAACACACAAUAAACUACUAAAAUCCAGAUUGAUUAUGCCCGUUAACAAAUAUAUAGGCCAAUCAAAUAAUUCAUUUGAAGGGCUACAAAAUAUAUCUACAAACCAUAAAAUUCAGGAUUCCACACGCAACUAAACGUUUCGGAUGUUUUAGCAGAAUAUUAAUUCAUCUGGACCAGUUCUUGAAGGUUGGGGGGCAUGGCCCAUGAGAACUUCGUCACCGGUCGAACUCGUCCAAACUCGCCGAGGCGGAUCUUUUCGAGGAGUCGGCACUCGACAGCAAGCAUGGGAGGCAUGGCCGAUCAUUGAUAGGGAGCUUCUUGAGGUCGAUCUCGACGAUGCCCGGGAUACCCGUUAGCUAUGUCCUUGAAGAGGCGGUGUUAGUCGCCGCUUCAGUGGAAAACCUCGAGGGUUUUUGAAGUUGGGAAUCAGCGACGAGGAGGCGAAAUGCUGGCAGUUGCAGAGCUCCUUGAGGCAGAGGAAGAUUAGGGCGAGUCACUCAUCGGGUAGGGAGUGACAGGACUAUUUUUCAAUAACUUGAGGACUCAAAUCAUCUAUUUUUUUCUUUUGAUGACUCGAUCAAAUUUUUUUGCAACUAAGGAUUCCUUCAUUA